GACGAACGCUGGCGGCGUGCUUAACACAUGCAAGUCGAACGGCAACGCCCUGCUUUCGUGCGGUUCUCGAGUGGCGAUCGGGUGCGUAACACGUGAGUAACCUGCUCUUCUCUUUGGUAUAACUUCACGAAACUAGGGCUAAUAUCAUAUCGCAUCUCCCGCUGCAUGGUGGGCGUUGGAUCUUUUCGGCGGGUGGGGAUGGAUUGGCGGCUUAUCAGCUUGUUGGUGGGGUAGUGGCUUACCAAGGCUUUGACGGAUAGCCGGCCUGAGAGGGGGACCGGGCACAUGGGGACUGAGAGACGGCGCAGACGGGUACGGGAGGCAGCAGGGGGAAAUAUGGCACAGUGAGAGGAAGCCGGAUGCAGCAACGCCGGGGGCGGGAUGACGGCCUGCGGGUUGUGAACCGCUGUCGCCUGUGACGAAGCGGGAGUGACGGUAAUGGGUAAAGAAGCACCGGCUAACUACGUG
RNAcentral lists this ribosomal RNA (468 nucleotides) under uncultured bacterium. RNAcentral's name for it is "partial 16S ribosomal RNA". It matches the Rfam family "Bacterial small subunit ribosomal RNA", at positions 28 to 507 of the family's 1533-position model. The record is from RNAcentral.